Molecule: transfer RNA, 98 nt
Filed under: Actinoplanes italicus
Lineage: Bacteria; Bacillati; Actinomycetota; Actinomycetes; Micromonosporales; Micromonosporaceae
Description: tRNA-Val
Source: RNAcentral
GAGGUCGGAUGGUGCGGGGGACGAUCACGAGGCUGGUGACGACGAUCACGGCGGUGGCCGUGGCGUUGACGCUGGCGUUCGGAGCGGCACCGGCCGCG